Molecule: ribosomal RNA, 737 nt
Filed under: Spherillo sp. shi-1
Lineage: Eukaryota; Metazoa; Arthropoda; Malacostraca; Isopoda; Armadillidae
Description: bacterial SSU rRNA
Rfam family: Eukaryotic small subunit ribosomal RNA
Source: RNAcentral
AUAAACGAUGCUAACUGGCGAUCCGUCGGCGUCAUUCCCACGACUCGGCGGGGAGCCCCCGGGAAACCAAAGUUUUUGAGUUCCGGGGGAAGUAUGGUUGCAAAGCUGAAACUUAAAGGAAUUGACGGAAGGGCACCACCAGGAGUGGAGCCUGCGGCUUAAUUUGACUCAACACGGGGAACCUCACCAGGCCCAGACACCGGAAGGAUUGACAGAUUGAGAGCUCUUUCUCGAUUCGGUGGGUGGUGGUGCAUGGCCGUUCUUAGUUGGUGGAGCGAUCUGUCUGGUUGAUUCCGAUAACGAACGAGACUCUAGCCUGCUAACUAGUCGGCGGAUCGACUCCCGAGACGGGUAUCCUUCCGCGGGGGCUUAGGGCGGGGGUAGCUCACGAGGGGCUCGUCGUUUCUCUCGUUCUCGGCAACGCGGGUCGGUCGGUCGGAGGGGGAUGACGAAGACGACGAAAGGAGAUCGGUAGCGGUAUUAGUCGCGGUCGUCGUCGGUGGUGGUCGUGCAGUCUCGGUUCGCCGAGGCGGCGAUGCGCGCCGUACGCCUUCCGCUACUACUACUACUGCCGUUUCUCCCGAAUCUCUUUCUCUCUCUCCCUUUCUUCCUUCCUCCUCCGCGCGUCGGGUUCGAGAGGCGGCGAUCAAGUCCCUUCGAGUCCCCGUUUCCUCCUCGCGUGUGGGAGCUCAACGAGGGGCGUCCGUCGUAAUAUCUUUCUUAGAGGGAUCGGCGGC